RNAcentral lists this transfer RNA (90 nucleotides) under Comamonas sp. KCTC 72670. RNAcentral's name for it is "tRNA-Ala". The record is from RNAcentral. Lineage: Bacteria; Pseudomonadati; Pseudomonadota; Betaproteobacteria; Burkholderiales; Comamonadaceae.
GCGAGCUGCGCCAGGAAGGCGCGGCCCUUCGCUGGGUCCGUCAUGUGGAUGAAGGCGGCCAUGCCCUGGAGCUGCUCCAGGGACUCGCCC